AUGCAUCUAUUUGACAGACUUACAGCCGUUUAUCUGCUGCCAAGGUUUUCACUACAGAGCAAGGAAAAAAACGUGUCCUUGCACUUUCUGUCUAUCUGAUUGUGGCAGCCCAGAUUGAGUGGGGGAACACAGCA
Molecule: small nucleolar RNA, 134 nt
Organism: Sorex fumeus (smoky shrew)
Lineage: Eukaryota; Metazoa; Chordata; Mammalia; Eulipotyphla; Soricidae
Product: small nucleolar RNA SNORA31
Exons: 1
Source: RefSeq, a predicted model, not a curated record